AGUGAACGCUGGCGGUAGGCCUAACACAUGCAAGUCGAACGGCAGCACAGUAAGAGCUUGCUCUUACGGGUGGCGAGUGGCGGACGGGUGAGGAAUACAUCGGAAUCUACUUUUUCGUGGGGGAUAACGUAGGGAAACUUACGCUAAUACCGCAUACGACCUACGGGUGAAAGCAGGGGAUCUUCGGACCUUGCGCGAUUGAAUGAGCCGAUGUCGGAUUAGCUAGUUGGCGGGGUAAAGGCCCACCAAGGCGACGAUCCGUAGCUGGUCUGAGAGGAUGAUCAGCCACACUGGAACUGAGACACGGUCCAGACGCCUACGGGAGGCAGCAGUGGGGAAUAUUGGACAAUGGGCGCAAGCCUGAUCCAGCAAUACCGCGUGGGUGAAGAAGGCCUCCGGGUUGUAAAGCCCUUUUGUUGGGAAAGAAAAGCAGCAGGUUAAUACCCCGCUGUUCUGACGGUACCCAAAGAAUAAGCACCGGCUAACUUCGUG
Molecule: ribosomal RNA, 492 nt
Filed under: uncultured bacterium
Lineage: Bacteria
Description: partial 16S ribosomal RNA
Rfam family: Bacterial small subunit ribosomal RNA
Source: RNAcentral